This 11116-nucleotide long non-coding RNA is filed under the name Amborella trichopoda. RNAcentral describes it as "long non-coding RNA (ATRI_LNC004890)". The record is from RNAcentral. Lineage: Eukaryota; Viridiplantae; Streptophyta; Magnoliopsida; Amborellales; Amborellaceae.
AUGAAUCAAACAUUUCCAAGAAUAUUAAAGUAAGUAGGAGGGUGAGAAGAAACCAGCAAUAUGGUUGAGUUUAGAUAAAAUUUACCAUCACUGUUUCUGAUGAAGUAUUUGAACAUUAGAAGUAAAAUGAAGAUCAAGAAGAAGAGAAUAAGUUACUUAUAAAAAUAUGCACAACUUCCUAGGCAUCUAUAUAUAUGUGCACAUAGGUAAUGGCCAGAACUUCUCCCAAAUGACAUUUACAUUUAACAACAAGAAGGCUCAUAGAAGACUUCAACUCCCAAAUGAAGUAUUUGAACAUUAGUAAGAAAAACCCAAUGAAACCAACCAGUAGCAAUUUCAACUCCAAUGCAGCAAACUUACCCACCAUCCAAACCUGAAAAAACCAUCGAAGAAACCUGUAAGGAAGAAACCCAAUGUGCCUAUCAUUUCGAGUAGAACACUAAUAGAACAUUGGUUAUUAUCCAGAGCUCACGUUUAAUAUGGUUACUCCACCAAAAUAUAAGUGAAUUAUUUUGCAUGCCUACAUGGUAAUUAUAGAAGACAAACCUUAAAAUAAAAAUCUCAUGUGUUUUACAAAAGAGAGAAAGACAAGAAGAGAGAAUCUUUCAAUGUCAACAGGAGGAAAAUUACCCAGAGCAAACUGUACGCAGAUAUUACAAGAGCCAAUAAUGCAUUCAGCAUACAAAAAGUGGCAUCGAAGAGAAUCAAUAAAUCAUAAAACAUGAAAAAUUUGCAAAUAUCAUGGCCCAAGAGAACCCACUCAAAACAACAAAUUGCAAAAAUCUUGGCCCUAGAGAAUAACCAGAUGCAUGGAGAAGUAGGGAAUUAGAGGGGACCCCCAUACAAAUUUCUCCAUGGAAACAAGAAGGAAGUUGAGCAGAUGUUGGGGGAAGUAAUUGCAAAACCAAUGGUUCUCUCUCAUGACACCAAAGCAAGACAGACCUACACCCUCUAAAUUUUCAGGACGAGAUGCUUCUAAGGCAUAAAUUCAAGGAAGCAAGCUUUAUAAGAACAGAGAGCUUAAAUCUCCAUUAAAAAUUCUGAAUCAGAGGCUUUUCAGUUACCCCCAAAUGAAAGAAAUGGAGAACAGGCCUAGGCAGGAAAUCAGCCUCUAAAAAACAGCUCCUUUAUACAAAAUCAUAGGAUUUCCAGCCUAUUGACCCCCAUACUUGAACAAUUAAACAAUUAACAGUUAACACAGUCAAGCACACACAAUUAACAGUUAGAAAUAAAAUUGUGCAUUACAAACUAUGAAAUUAGGGAAUAAAAAUCCAAUUCCACAGUCUUACAAACUGUUAAGCACUCAGUUACAAAUUGUGCAUAAUAAACUCUGCAUUACAAACUGUUAAGCGCACAGUAAUACACAUUCAAGCACACAGUUACACACAGUUCAUAAAGCAAUACACAGACAUAGUUAACACAGUUAAGCUUCUGAGCCCUUACUUCUUCAAAGUUCAAACCCAAUUCAUCAGAACUAUCAAAUAUAGCUAACAAAACCAAACAAUUCUGGUUCUUAGAUAUACAUAUUCAUUCCAAAAUAUAAACAUCUACAAAGGAACUUUAAGUAAAGUAAGAAUUACACCAGAAUAGUCACAGCAAAUGCAAUCAUCCCUCUAUCGCCUGGUCAUUACAAGAUGAAGAGCCCUCGACGGCUACACAAAUUUCAAUUCUUACCAUAACCAAAAUGCAUAAUAAAUAUAUAAAUAAGACAAGUAUUUAAGACAUAGAACAUUUAUUUAUCUUCGGGGCAGUAACCCCGAAGCCAGUCCUGUGCACAAAUCAAGGCCUCCACAGUAGUUGGAUGCAAGGAACUACGGUACUAAUUGAGGACUUGACCACUUGCGCUAAAGGCCGACUAUGAAGGGAUGGUGUACAACGGAAUUGCCAAAAUAUCUCAAGCCAAUUCAAACAAAAUAGGAUUCAUCGACGCAUUAACUUUCCACCAACAUGAGAUGUCAAAGGCCACAUCUUCAUCUCGAUGAACCAACUCAUGAUCUAAAUAAUUAUCCAACUGAAGUUCGGUCCAAGAAUUGGUUGAAGUUUAAAUGGAGUCUCUUUGUACCUCUCUAUCAAGUAAAGAGCUUGAACUCCUAAUACUACUUGCUUCUUUUUCUAUAUUAGAAGUAGUUGACUAUGUCAAACCUACAUACUUCUUAUAUAAACAAUCAAAGUUAUCCCGAACAAUCUUAAAUUUCGCCUCACUUUCAUCACCAACACUUUAUCUUGUCUCAAAACAAUACCCUAUAAACUUUAACUUACAUCUAGGAUCCAAAAUUGUUGCUAUUGUCAUUGAUAAAUUACAUUCACCCCGCCCUAUACUUGACAAAUUUUUCUUGCAUCACAAAAGUUACCUAUUAUAUGGUUUCAUCUUGACUAUUAGCUUCUUCCAUUAACAUCUGUUGAAUCCCCCAAACCUUUGAAAAAUAAGUAUGUGAUGUAGGAUACUUGCUUCCAAAAAUUAAAUUUGUAGUUUCCUUAAAAACUUUCAAAAACUUAUGAAUUACUUCAGUUUUAUUCCAAUCAUCUACAAAUGGAGCAAUAUCAUAGUGAUGACUAUCUGCAUAUCGAGCAAAUACCUCUUUAUAGGUUAAAGCACUUCGAAGCAUGUCAAAUGUGGAGUUCCACCUUGUGGGAACAUCCAACACUAAACCUUUUUUACUUGGCACUCUUAACUAUUGUGCGAUUUCAUUAAAUAUUUGCAUGCGAGAUGGAGAUACCUUCACAUAUUUAACAAUCCCACACGCAUUUUCAAAAACACUAUGUAUUAUUUUCAACCAUGUUCACACUAUAAUGUUCAAACUGUGUGCACAACAUCUCAUGUGAAUGUGAUUCUCUCCAAGAAAAAUCUUUCAGAAAUAUUAUCUUUUAAUUUCUUCACAACAAGAUGAUUGGUAGUGCAAUUAUCCAUAGUAAUAGCACACAAUUUAUCCUUCAAAUUCCAAUAAAAAAUACAUCUUUCAAUUGCAUUCAAGAUAACUAAACUUGUGUGCGGAUAUGGUACCAACUUGAAAUUUAUUAUCUUUUUUCUUAAAAUCCUAUCACUAUCUAUAUAGUGGGCCGUGGGACACAUAUAUCCAAGAGACUGAUUGGAUGUCCGAAGGUCAAUGGUAAGACUCAAUCAACCAAUCGAUCUCUCUAAAACAUCAAAAAUUACUAUUUUUUCCUCUUGAUAUAAAGCCAUGCAAUCAUUCUUUAUUGUAGUUCAUCCUACCAUCUUAAACUUGGUUGAAGGGUCUUAACAAAUUCUAUAAAGAAAAAGGGUGCUCAACCAUACGAAACUAGAAUUAUAAGCAUCUUUGCAAGCGCUUUACGGCUUAUUUCUUGCUCAAAUUUAAAUGUUUCAAGUUCCUUAGCUAGUAACAGUUGCAAAUCCGGAUGUGGACGACUACGACAACCUUUAAUAUGACUAAGAAGGUGGGUUGUCCCAUCAUUAGUUUUUUCUACAAAGGUACAAUUACAAUGCUUACAAAAUCUUUUUAUAAGAGAAUUAUGUUUAUCAGUCCAUUUGUUUAAUAAUCUGGAAAGACAAUUUUUGUAAUUCCCUGGUUUUUACUGAUUGUUUUGUAACAACGUAUUUGUUCUUUUUGAAUGGCUAUUCUUAUUUUUCCAUUUUUUCCAUUUGAAAUGCUUUUUGAAAUUUUUUCUUUUGUAACACUUGGGAUUAUUACAACUCACUUCCCAUUCCUCUUUUAGGACAUUCUUACAAAUUUUUGGGGAGAGUUGGUUUUUAAUUUGUUUUGUUGCCUUAGAAGUAAGGCAAUAAUUCAUUAUUGUUCUAAGUACAAAAGCAAUCAUGUUACCCAGAGUGUUUGUACAAUUUGUUGAUUCUACAUAUGGUUUAUAAGUAGAAUUACAUAAUUCAUCCCAAGGUGGAGGUAGUUUAUGAAAAAACUGACCCUUCCAAAAUUCUGAAACAGAUUCUUUAACUUCAUGAAAGUAUCUUUGAAAUAAUUUUGCAAAAGUUUCAAAUUCACUUGUAAAAUAAUUUGGUUUUACUUUGAACCAAACUAUUCCAUUAACUAGGUUAGAUUGAACUCCACCUAUUAAUGUUUUGGUUGGAUCAUUGAAACGUUUAUCUAACAUUAUGACCAAUAUUGGUGUAUCGAUACCUUGUCGAAAUAAUGAUUUUAUUUCAACUUGUAUUACUCCAAUAUGAAUGUAUCUUAUAUUUGGAAAUUUUUGUUUUAAUUUCUUAAUUUUUGUUUUGUCAAAAAUAGAAAUUUCACAAGUUCCAUCUUCUAAUGCUUUAGCGAUAGUGUUGCCACUAAAUUGUUCAAAAUGUCUGGCAAACCAAAAUUUGAACUUAAGAGAUUUUGUAUAUCUCUUCCUUUUUUAUUAUUUUUAGCUUAUCUUCGUCAAUUGAGACUUCUCUUAUGACGUCACCUAAUUUAAUGGCUUCAAGACCUUGAAUAUUUUCAAAAAUUUCAUUAUUAGAUGAUGUAUUUAGCAUGAAAUAUUCUUCUUCAGAAGAUUCAUCCUCUUCUUCUAUUUCAUAGAGAAUUGAUUGUCUCAGAGAUAUCUUCUCCAAAACAUAUUUCGAAAUUAUUUUCUUCCAAAAACUUUACCAUUUUCUUGGUGUUUUGGUUUUUCUUAGGACAAUUGGGUACAAUGUGUCCUUCUUCAUUACAGAUGUAGCAUCUACAACCUUUUUUAGGUGUAAAUCUUUUGUUGUUUUUCUUAACAACAUAUUUGCUCUUUUUGAAUGGUUUAUUCUUAUUUUUCUAUUUUUCCAUUUGAAAUGCUUUUUGAAAUUUUUUCUUUUGUAACUCUAGGGAUUAUUACAACCCACUUCCCAUUCCUCUUUUAGGACUUUCUUCCAAAGUUUUGAGGAGAGUUGGUUUUUAAUUUGUUUCAUUGCCUUAGAAGUAAGGCAAUGAUUCAUCAUUGUUCUAAGUACAAAAGCAAUCCUGUAACCAAGAGUGUCUGUACAAUUUGUUGAUUCUACAUAUGGUUUAUAAGUAGAAUUACAUAAUUCAUACCAAGGUGGAGGUAGUUUAUGAAAAAACUGACGCUUCCAAAAUUCUGAAUCAGAUUCUUUCACUUCAUGAAAGUAUCUUUGAAAUAAUUUUGCAAAAGUUUCAAAUUCACUAAUUUUGCAAAGUUUUAUCUUUGUCGAUGAAUAAGUUGCAUCAUCUUGUUGGUUAGCAGUACUUUGAUAUCCGAUAAAUUUUUGUUUUAAGAGUUUUGUAAAAUCGGAUAGUACAUUUUCAAAAAGUGGAUUUUUUAUAAUUUCAGCCUGUUUUAAUUAGCCGCAUGUAUUUUGUUGCCAAUUUUUAAUAAAUCUUAAUGCAUCACCUUGCAGGGUUGUGCAAAUAUAAUUUUAAAAAAAUUUCAUUAUUUCAUUCACCCUUUUUCUGUAUUAUUAUUAUAGCCUUGACUGAGCCUAAUCAUUGAUUCCUUGUUCAUUAUAUGGGAUAUUUGUCGGAUCUAGAUAAGUACCCCAACACCCAACUAAAUUUUUAUUCAUAUUUUUUGUUAAGAUUUCUUCUUUUAUAGGAUUACUCGAAGAUGAGUGGCCAAAUGUUGCGAAUUGAUCUUCAUCCAAUUUUCUUAAAAAUUCAUGGCUGGUGUAUGAUUUUGUUUCAAGGUCUAAUUCCAGUGGAUCUAGAUCUUUGCCUUCCUUUUUCCUUUUGAAUCGAUAUUUUCUAUAUCAAAUUCACUGUUUGAAUCAAAAGUUGUUUCUUCUGGGUCAACAGUCUCUGUAAAAUUGCCUAAAGCAAUUUCAACAUUCUCAUCAUCACUUUCUUAUAAAGAAAUGAUAAGUUCAUAAUUAAAAUUUGUCAAGAGUUUUUUGUUGCUUGAAAAAAGUUCUUUCAUCAUUUUUUGUAAUUUUUCUCUUUUUAUAAAUAUAUGGUUCUUUAAUAUAUCGGGGUUUCCAGUAUUCCAGAAUUUCCUUCAUAGAGUUAUAUUUUUCAAAAUCUUUUUCUUUCCUAUUUUUCAAAGUUAACAUUUCUAUGCCAUAAUGAAGUUUUGAAAAAGAAAUGGGUUCUGAUUUUAUCUGUAUAUUUUUUAGAUUUUUUACUUCGAUCAAUAGUUCAUUUGUUUAGGAUCUAGAUUUAUUUCAGUAAUUUUUCCUAAUUUUGAGAUUUUCCUAUCUAUAUUAUCUAAUUUUUGUGAGAUCCUAUCUUGAUCUAUAUUUUUUAUAGCUUGGGUUUUACUAAACCAACUAUUGGUUAAAUCUAUUAGUAGCAUUUAUGCCAUGAUUAAUACUUGAUAAAUUAUUUUCUAAUUUUUUAUCUAUAUGCUAAAUAUGUUGGAAAUAACCUCAUUUUCCUAAUUUUUCAUCUCCUAUGCAAGGAAUAUCUGUCAUCUUAGACUCAAUUGUGACUCCUAAGGCCUAUUGACGAUUAUUUUCACUUUCAAUGAGUCCAAUGCCAACACACCUCUGGGCAACAACGACAAACCCUAAGUUACUAAUCGAUCAAGUGUAUGGGAUAUCAGAAAAGCAAGGACUAAAACAGAUAAUUCCAUGAAUAGAAUAAAAAUUUUGGAAAUAAAGCUAAACGAGCAAAUUUAUCAUAUAAUAAAUAUUACAGCAUAAUUUCUAAUGCGAGAGUUCGUCUAUUAGACGCAAUCGCUACACAUAUACUUACUUAAAAAGCUUAAAAAAAAUAAAGCAUAACUGAAAUAAUUUUAAUUCAUAAAAAAGCCAAAGGACUUUUAACUCCUGAUCAGAUACCACUAAACUGGAAAGAUCUGAAAAUACCAAAAAGUUGGCUUGUUCAAAAUUGUACUAAAAAUCAUAACAAAAAAUAUGAACCAGUAAAUUUUCAAGCAAGUGGCAAAAAUCUUUAUAUCAUUUAUUCUAGAUCAAGAAAAUCAGUAGAUAUAAGCCAAACAUCUAAACCAAAUGGAAGGUUAAAAAUUGAAAAACCCAAAAUACCUGAAAAUCAACCUGAUACAAAAGACGAAAUUUUUGCUUUUAAAGGAUUUGAAAUACCUAUUAGUUUCUCCAAAUUCUCCUUCUUUCUCAUCAUGUAAAAGGCCCGUUCUAAAAAGUAGCCUCUCAAGUAAUAUUAUCAUUAUUUUCCUGUAUUUGUGUUCCACACCUUAGAUUGGUAUCAGAGCUGGUAUCAGAGCCGGAGGUAACAGUCCCUUUGUUUUUUUAUGAAUUAAAAUUAUUUCUGUUAUGCUUUAUUUUUGUUAAGCUUUUCAAGUAAGUAUGCUAUGCGACUGCAUUUAACACACGAACUCUCGCAUCAGAAAUUAUGCUGUAAUUUUUAUUAUAUGAUAAAUUUGUUCGUUUAGCUUUAUUUCCAAAAAUUUUAUUUUUUCUAUUCAAGGAAUUAUAUGUUUCAAUCCUUGCUUUCCUGAUAUCCUAUAUACUUGACCGAUUAGUAACUUUAGGAUUUGCCGUUGUAGCCCAGUAGUGGCGUGUUGCCAUUUGACCCAUUGGAAGUGAAAAAAAUCGUCAAGAGGCCUUAGGAGCCACAAUUGAGUUUAAGAUGACAGAUAUUCCCCGCAUAGGAGAUGAAAAAUUAAGAAAAAAAGGUUAUUUCGAACGUAUUUACCAUAUAGAUAAAAAAUUAGAAAAUAAUUUACCACGUAUUAGUCAUGGCAUAAAUGCACUAAUAGAUUUAACCAAUAGCUGGUUUCGCAAAACUCAAGCUAUAAAAAAGAUAGAUCAAGAUAUGAUCUCAAAAAAAUUAGAUAAUAUAGAUAGGCAAAUCUCAUAAUUAGGAAAAAUUACUUAGAUAAAUCUAGAUCCUAAACAAUAGAACUAUUGAUCGAAGAAAAAAAUCUAAAAAAUAUACAGAUAAAAUCAAAACCCAUUUCUUUUCCAAAACUCCAUCAUGGCCCAAAAAUGUUAACUCUGGAAAAUAGGAAAUAAAAAUUUUGAAAAAUAUAACUCUAUCAAGGAAAUUCUAGAAUACUGGAAAAGCCGAUAUAUUAGAAAAUAUCGAUUCAAAAGGAAAGUCGAAGAUCCAGAUCCACUGGAAUUAGACCCUGAAACAAAAUCAUACACCUGCCAUGAAUUUUUAAGAAAAUUGGAUGAAGAUCAAUUCACAACAAAUGCGAUUCAUCUUCAAAUAAUCCUAUAAAAGAAGAAAUCUUAACAAAAAAAUAUCAAAAAAAAUUCAAAUGGGUGUUGGGGUACUUAACUCGAUCUGACAAAUAUCCCAUAUAACGAAGUCUAAGCUCUCGAAACUAAAUGUUCCCUGAUCUAGGGAUCCCUUCAUAAUUUCUCUCCUUUUUCUGAGGAGGUAGUAAAGGUUGUUUACCCUUUCUUUUGUCUCCCAUCAUUCCUUGUUUAGGAACUUUCCUUGCUAAGAAAAAUAUUAAAUCUUUUUAAGCCAUUUUUUAUGGCAAGAAUUUCUUUUCGUAGGUAUACAGUUAAUCUCACUUGGUUUAAAUUUUCCAGAAUUGUAACCAUAGAUUAAUUCUUUAUUAUCUACACAUGCUUUUAAAACCGCUCCCCAAUGUUCACCACUGGCAUCGGUUUCAAGUAUAAGUUUUUCUCCAUCUUUUGAAAAAUAAACUAUUGGAAUAUCUGAUAAAUCAGCUUUUAUUUGUUUAAUAAAUGCUUAGUCAUUUUCACUCCAAAAGAAAUGUUUAUUCUUUUUCAAUUUUUCUAAUAAAGGUUUUUUCAUUUUGGAUAAAUCUUUAAUAAAGUUUCUUCCAUAAUUAAGUAAACCAAGAAAACUUUGGAAUACCAUGAUGGAUAACAAUAUCAAAAACUUGAAAAGAACACGAAAAGGAAGUAAUAGUGACUCAGAGACAAGGAAAAACAAGGCAGAUGUACACACACAUACAAACAACCACACAGAGAUCAAUUCAAAAUGUUAUAAAUGAAUCAACACAAGCAACUCAAAGAAUCAACAACAGGGAGUCCACCAUUGCAAAGAAGAAAUACGAGUAGAGAAAUAUGAGCAUUAAUAACAGUAAAGAAAAUGCUCAAUCAAUAACCAACAUAAGCCCAUGUACAAAUGAUGAUCUACCAAUGCAACACCAAUAACAAAGAACCAAGCAACGGAAUAGUGAAAGCAAUAAUAAACUAAGCCUCAAACAUAAUCCUAGUUUCUCAUCAUCAUCAAGAAGUGGAACACAUGAACUGAUAUAGGAAAAAAAUAGGAAAGCAAAAUAAAAAAGGUUAAACAAAUAAGUACAGAAUCUAAUAGACCAUUGAAUACAAUUUUGAAUCUCAAUCAUCUAUGGAACCUCCAAAAGAAGAAAAACUGAAAAAGAAAGGAUGCAACAAAAAGAACUCAAAAGGGAAAACAAAAACACUUGACAAAUAAACAAACAAACAACCACAUAAAUAAAAACGUAUAUAUUAGAAGAUCAUCAAGCGCAAUUCUAUUACACCAAAUGAAAUCUCAUAACUACAAUACCUAGCAAUAAAAUAAUAAAUAGAAUACGAUAACUGUGAUAUGUAAAAUUAUGGAGAACAAUGACAAAAAUAACAAAAAUAAGAUAAUAUCAGAAUCGUUAGAAUAAUGGGGGGAUCCAAGUAGAGCUCGAAUGACUUGAAGAAACUCACUCAAAUUGGGGUACCAUUUCAAGAUACUUCUUUUACUUGAAUGACACCAAUUUCUUUGGUUGCCACAAAUGAGAACAUCUAAUCUCGAGCAACCCCUCAUAAACACACUUAUAUGAACCUUCUUCAGACCCCUCAAAAUAAAUAAAAUAAUUCACUCUAGAGUGAUAGGACAUAGUGCCCAGCCAUCCCCAAAUUCUCAAUUCUAAGAAAUCUUUUCGUAAAAAGAAUAACCUAAAUAAUUGAAUGUAAUGCAACAAAUUCAUUUCAGUACCUAAUCUGAAGUAAAGAAAGUAUAAUAUAUUCCUAUUGAAAGAGAAAUUUUAGAGAGAAAAACCAAACUGAAAGAGAGAGAGUUUUGAGAAUAUUUGUAUUUGAAAGAAAUCUCCCUCCCUCCCUCUUCCCUCCCUCCCUCCCUUAGGUUCUGCUGCAGAUUUUUCACAUUCAAUUCAGUUUCUAAUACGAUACAAUCUGAUGAAGGGUUGGAGUAAGUUUUGAUUUCACUCUUUUAAAUUAUUUUCUGGUGUUGGGAUCUACUUCUAAUGAUAUAUCUGAAACGCGAAAACCCAACAAAAUCGGCUGAAAAUAGACUAAACCACGAUUCAAACCACCUAUUUGAAUCUGAUCAGUUUCAAGGAUUUCAUUUAGCUUAUGAUAAUCGAUACUUUUGAUUUUCCAAAUGUGAGUGAGUGAGUGUGUGUGUGCAUGAGAGAGAGAGAGAGAGAGAGAGUAAAAUCUGAUGAACCCACAAACAUUGAGUUCUAAGGAGUUUAUCUAUUUCGUGACUUUUAAAGCAAUUCUCUCACAUGGGUCAACUUUUCAAAAAAUUAUUCAGUCUCAGAACUUCUAAUCAAUUCUAAGGGGUACUGAUGAUUCUACAUAUGCAUGCAAAGUAAUAGGGGAACCAUGAUUUUUUUUCUUUUGGAAACUUCAACCAAUUGUCUCAAAUGGGUACUGAUGAUUGUACAAAUAUUUGCAGAUAACAUGGAAAACCAGGAGGACGAGGAGGUAAAUACAGAGGAUUCGUCUCACAAAACCAACACAACAGAAAAGCAUAGCUAUGAGAAAGACCAGGAGAAAUCAGAGAAUUCAUCUCACAAAACCGAAACAAAUUUAGAAAUGCAGAACCAUGCAAUGGGCCAAGAAGAACCCAUCUAUGUAUAUAUGAAACAUAUCCAAGAAAAAACAAACGAAAAAUAAAAGUUUGCAAACAACUCCAGGGAAACAAACCCAUCAAUUUUCCAUGGAUUAAUAUCGAUUAGAAACCCUAAAAAACGAAACAAAAUUUCUGGAACCAAACAAAAAAUACAUCCCGUCUUGUAAUUUGAUUUUGUAAUCUGAUUUAACACACAGAAAGAGGCUGAUCUGAUCCUUUCGUUGGUAAUCUGAUUUUAGAGAGAGAGAGGGUUAUCGAUGUGCUUCUAGAGAGAGAGGGCUUUGUGAGUGAGGCCAGAAAGAGGGAAGGGGUUUUGAAAGAGAACAGAGAAAGAGCCCGAGGUGACAAAAUGCGAGAGAGAGAGAGAGAGAGAGGGGCUUGUGAAACUCUGAAAGUAGUACCAGAGAUGCCAGAAAGAGUGACAGCUAUACGAGAUGACCAAAUUUUAGGGUUUAGAGAGAGAGGGGUUACGUUUAUUUGGG